GACCGCUCAGGUGGCCUAGUGGUUAGAGCGUCUGCCUCGGAUGCAGGAGGUCGCGGGUUCCAACCCCGGCCAAGUCA
Non-coding RNA from Potamilus streckersoni, 77 nucleotides. NCBI's taxonomy places the organism in Eukaryota, Metazoa, Mollusca, Bivalvia, Unionida, Unionidae. The record is from the annotation of a GenBank genome assembly.